Molecule: non-coding RNA, 8518 nt
Organism: Podarcis lilfordi (Lilford's wall lizard)
Lineage: Eukaryota; Metazoa; Chordata; Lepidosauria; Squamata; Lacertidae
Source: the annotation of a GenBank genome assembly
GAAGAACUUAACAGUUCUUUGCUUGUCCUCUUGGGCCUGACGCUUGACAGGAAAUGAGCUUGAAAGGUUCAGAGGCAGGUCACAGAGCUCCUAUCCCUGCCAGCUGCUCAGAUGACCCUAGCAGUGUGUUUUGAGAAACCUGAUACACUUGCUUAUUAUUAAAGCCUUUUUUCCUUGGAGAAGUCACGUCUAACGCUGGGUUCUACCAGACACAUGGCUAGCCUAUUACAUCCUCCCCCCCCCACAUUCUUCUCAAAUGACACUUGUUAUAUGACCUAAGACUAGAACAACGUGAAAAAUCCCGUGUUGCAACGCAAGGCUGAAUGUGCGAGGAUCAUCUUGUUUACAGGAAUGCUCCCGCCUUGUUUGCCUUGCAGCAUUUGUUGUGCCAAUCCUUCAGACCACCUCCCCUGAGGAACCAACACCAGAGCUGGAAAUUCCUGAUGUCUGAGAUCCUGAAUUCUGGAAGGCACAAUUAAGCAGGGAAAUAGUGUCCAAGGCGGAGCUGAUGAAAUGUGGAAGGUACAAAUUUGAGUGGACACAGUACUUUGUAUUCCAGUUCACUAUUUAAAAGUGUCCUCCAUACUUAUGCUCCGUUCUAAACAGGUGAUUUUGCUGGCAGUGGUAUUUCUUAGAAGCAGGAAACAUAUCAAAUCAGAUUGCCUUAUGCAGAUUCUUUUUUUCCUUUUGGCAAGGAUGCCUAAUAAAUAUUGCUGCUCACAGUACUUUCCCCCCCUAGAAAAUAGGUGCUGGUACACACCAAAAAGUUGCUACAGUAGGUGCCACACUUUUUAGCAACAAAAAGAGGUGCCAGUACUGAGAACCCUUGAGUACCCCUGACAGGAAAGCACUGGUUGCACGCUACCCUAAUAUAAAGUGUGAUGGGGUUCAGUUUCCUUGGAAUGAGGGUCAGCGGACUGUGGUGGCUUUAUGAUGUAUUGUUUAUUUACAGAUAUAUACAACCUGACCCUAUGAUGGAAGAGCUCACAGGAUCAAUGCCCCAAUAAGGUUUUGCAUCUCCCAUAGCCACAGCCUUGGAUUCAAGCAGACGUAAAGCAUGCCUCUCACUCUCAAUCUUCUGCCGGCUCCUAGCCCAGCUGUCUCACAUAACUGCAUUAUCCUUCUAACUACCAGCCAGGUAAAGGACAGGGCACACCCAUUUGCUCUCCGACACAGCUACUUCCUUUGUUACCCUAACGGCCCAUACUUAGGGGCCAUUAACUUAUCAAGAAACUUGCCUGGCUCCUUCAACAAUGCAAUCUCAGAACACUAUGUUCUUAAAUUAAGGUUGUAUGUGCACCAGCACGUGUCCCACUAGAACAAGGGGAAUAUUAUAAGAGCAGCCCUGUAUGAUUAGGCCAAAGCUCCACCUAGUUCAGCAUCCUGUUUCCAACAGUGGACAGCUCUGCCUUCAACAAGCACCCAAGUAAGAAGACAUGAAAGUGACAGCCCUCCCCAAUUGCUUCCUCCUCCCCAGAUUGAUAUUCAGAGACAUACUUGGUUUGGCCAUCACCACUGAUAGUCAUAGCUCUCCUCCCCCUGAAUUUGUUUGCAUGCACAGGUAAUAUCUCUGCAAUGUUCACCCACUGGAUAUGAGAAUAUUUCCGCCCCCCACAAUGUGCAACUAGAGCUACAGAAGCAGCACAGAAUCAGAGUGUAUAGACAGUGCCAGAAACAUGCCAUGGAUUUAUUUUAACUACAUAUUUAAAUAUUAUUUUGCUGAUUUUAUUUUUCUUUGUUAGAUUUGUUCAUUUUCCUACCCUUUCCAGUUUAGCCCUUGGCUUUUCAUGAGGUGCCAAAGCAUUGUACAUGAAGAUUAAGUUGCACAUGUAUGACUCUGUAUUCAUGUUGUUAUUCUUUAAUUUAUUCCAACUCAUGGCUGUCUUGUAGGGACCCCAGCUUACCUUGCAGAUGCCUCCAGAUCCCUCAAAGGCCCCAGCACAUUAUUCAGCAUUCAUAUGACUCUUUUGCACACCUCUAGUGUUUUUCCUCUAAGGGUAAGAGUUGUGUUUGUUGAUUUACACUUAUAUAAUUAUCAAUUGCUGUUUGUGUGUUACUUCCAAAAAACCGAAUAAGCUUUUAAAGAAAGAAAUAAUUUAAGCUUGUUGAAAUGUUCAUAUGCUGAAUUCAACCAAAGUGUAACUUCUUAUUAUUUUAACCAGCAAAGUGACCCUUAUCUGCUCUUUUUUUGUCCCUGUAGAAUACAGCAAAUAUGUCGUUUUAUAUAAACUACAGCAAAUGGCUGGUAGAGACUGUUCACUGGUCAUUAAAAAAAAGGAAGAAAAAGCAGAGGAACCAUUGCCAGUUUGGCAGCGGGGAAUGCAGAGAUAGCCCCUGCAGGCAUUAUGCAUUUCCCUGGUAGAAGAACCACCAGUGGCUCCCAAAUUGUGAAUCCACACACUAAUUCUGUGACCUUCCCACCCAGUGAUGAAAGCAGCAACAGUGACACUGACUCACAGUAGUUGUGUGAUAGUUGUGUGAUUAAGCCACAGCCUGUGGAGAAGAGGGCCAGAGUCAUAUGCUUUUAUAGUGAGCUAUGGUGUGUGUUCCUGAUGCAAAUACAUUAGAUGCUCCAGUUCAGAUUUUACUAAUGAUAGGGCAUAGCUUUCAUAGUUCUGGGGGAUUUUCUUCUUCAGGUUAACAUGGGGUGGAGGGUAUUUCUAGACUAGGGAGAGAACCACAGACCUUGAUGCUGAAUAUGGCCCCUCUAUCUGGCUCGUGGGACCCGGUGCACCAGUCCUGCUUUGCACUUUCCUUGAGUGUUUUUGCCUGUCUGGCAUGUGUUCUUGAACAGUGAUGAUGUCUCUUACUUGCUUGGAUGUAGAUAUCUGCCUGUGUGUGCUUGUACACACAUUGCACACAUGUGUACACACAUUAAUCUCCAAAUUUUAUAUGGGCGGAAUAAGGCCUACUGUACAAAGGUAAGAGUCACAUCCAUUGUCCCACUCAUUUUUUCCUCUAGCCCCAACCACUACUGGCACACAGCCCAGAAGGUACCCCCAUGAGGUACCAUAAGCUUCCGCCCCUGUUCUAGAACAAAGAUCCAAAAAAUCCUAAAGAAUGAUAUGAACUAAUGCCAGUGUACUGGAAGAAGCAAAGAUCACCAGUGUCCAAGCAAUGAUUCUUCAACAUCAACUUCAUGGGACUGGUCAUGUUGUGCAGAUGGCUGAUUAUCAUCUUCCAAAGCAACUACUCUAUUUCGAACUUAAAAAUGGAAAGUGUAAUGCUGGUGGUCAACAAAAGAGAUUUAAAGACUAUCUCAAGGCAAAUCUUUUUAAAAUGUAAUAUAAACACCAACAAUUGGAAAACACUGGCAUGCGAGCUCUCCAAUUGGAGAACAGCCUGUACCAAAGGUGGUCAUGGACUUUGAAGAUGCUCAAAUUCAGGACGAAAGGGAGAAACGUGCUAAGAAGAAGGCACGUUUGGUAAACCCUCAGCGUGAUCAACUCCCACCCGAAAACCUACAUCCCCACUGUGGAAGGACGUGUGGAUCCAGAACUGGCCUCCACAGUCACUUAUAGACUCACUGUUAAAACCGUGUUCCUGGAAGACAAUCUUACUCAGCUACGAGUGAUCGUCAAAGAAGAAGAAGAGGAUUAUUAGAAGUUUUAACAUUAAACAGACAUCUCUUAAUAACAAUAAAAAGCCAGAGAAAUGUUGAUUUGGGAGAGUCUCUAAAAUUCCCUCACAGAUGUUCUUCAAAUCCUGGUCUCUCAGCCUCUACAGGCACACAACUAAGGGAAUAUAAAACACUGUGCUUCAGGAUUUCAAGCCAGUAUUAAACUAUUCUUAAAAUCCUUAUUUGGAGUCUUGUUUGCCAAAUCUAACACCUCAUGGCGGUUGCAUUCCUCUGCAGCUGACCCAGGCACUGAAACCUGUGGAAUUUUGUCAGAGGCUUGGAGUAAAUGACGAUGCAUCUUUGCCAUGGCACUGCCACAAAUAUAUGUCUAUUAAAAAAAUUUACUGAGAUUAGCAUAGGGUAGACGUAAGAGUCCUUUCAGGCAGGGGUUUAUUGUGGAAUUGUUGCUCCUCAUGCCCACAAGUUUCUUCUUGUUGUUGUUUUUGCAGUGUCCACAUGACAUCAUCAUCAAAAUACUGGCCCCUUACUGCUGCAAAAAUAUGGUAAGUAAAAAUAACUCUUUACACAAAUCUGCAACCACUGCUGGUGUGGAAACACAUUUGCACAAGAGAAUAGCAAGGAAUAUAAUGACUGGGAAAAAUGAGAUGUGUAGAAAUGUGCAUACAGAAAAACUGCAUCUGAAUGAGCCAAUUGUGAUGGAAGGUUUCCAUCUGGAAGCUCCCUUAGUAUAGGCAGAAGUCUGAAGAGUGACUUCAUGGGGAAAGUGCUCACUUUGUAAGGUCAAUAUAUCAAGCUGGGAAAUAUCCCAGGGAAAGAUCCAUGAAAGCGUAAGUAUUGAUGUGGAGAGCUACAUCUUAACUAAAUGUAGCAACCACUGGACACCCAUCUAUUUUCAUCUUUCAUUAUAUGAGUCCAUUCCACAGCCCCUGCAGAAGAGAUUCUGUUGGAUAAAGCAUAAUACCAUAGCCAGUGAGGUGGUGUUAACAGAAGCCAAAAUUGUCAUUCAUUGUAUCAAUAAUUUUAGUUCUCUUGCACAGUCUUGUGGAGAGAGAGAGAGAGAGAGAGAGAGAGAGAGAGAGAGAGAGCGAGCGCACAUUUUGCAUGGGGAUUCUGAUUCUAGCCGCCACGCACGUUGGUGGAACAUGCAUAAGCCUAUUACACCCUCAUUCUGCCCUCUUCUGGGUCCUAAAGGCCCCGCGCAUCAGCAGUCACACAUCAAUUGGAUGUGCACAAAAUGGUCACCAUUUGUAUAUAUGGUGGUCAGCAAAGAUGGAAAUAGUUAUGAGCACAGCCAGAAAAAAAAUGAAAGUAUUGAGGAAGCGGGCAUGGAAAGGGAGUAUCAUAAAGGGGCAAAUGAUCUGCCCACCCAAAAGCCCACUGAAACAAGUCAUCUAUGACCCCGAGCAGUUUGGAACCUGACCUACCCCCAGUUUAUUGGAUUAUCCCCAUAUCAGAUAAACCCAAAUUUACAAAGCGAAAAACACUGAGAUUGUGUUGUUGGAGUUAACUCCAUGCAGACUAAACAAAUAAACUGGGGAUGCAGACAACUGCAAACACCAUAAAAUCCCAUGUAGACAAGCCCAUGGUUAGGUGAGCCUCAAUUUCUCUUGGGUUCUCUGCAAAGGCACGUGGCUCUCCAUUUCAUUAAUUAAAUGGUUAAUCAGAAUCACCAGCUUCUUGACCAGUGACACCCCACCCUGGGUUAGCCAGCCUCUUAUUUUGAAGGUUGGGCUGUCCUGCAAUGCUACUUGAACUAGUCUCUCAUAAUCACAAGUAGCAUUCUGCAUCUGGUGCAAUCCACCCUAGAAAGGGCACUUUUCAGGUCAGGAAAAGAAUGGAGCACAGAAGGUGGGUCUGGCUUUGUGGUAGAAUCAGCUCCACAGGGAAGCUGCCCUUUUUUAAAGUCACAUUUGAAUAGAAGAACGAUAUGUAGCAAGGAAACAGGACCUGGAAUAAAUAAGCACAAAGCACAUUUCCUAGAAAAAUGUGUUUAAGUACAGGUUGUAAUCUUACGUGUGGUCUGACCUUUAAAGUUAGAGCACCCAUGGUGGAUGAAGAAAAUAAUCUAACUGACCAAGGAAGAGUACAAUAAUUGCACAAUAAAUUACCUAUAUGUUAGGAAGGAUUCUUCCUAAGAGGACAAGCUGCCCCAAUCCCACAAGGAAUGAAAAAAGCUUAGGUUAUGUUGUUUCUUCUUGCCAAAGCAACAAAAGGAGCUAAACAAAAAUGCAAACUAUUUUAAUUGAUCCCGCCUGGCUCCCUGGAGGAUGAUGUGUUCCUCGGCUUGCAGACAACAGAACCAAGGAAGUUGUCCCAUAUUCAUCUGCCGAUUGUCUACUCAGAAACGUGGAAUGCACUGAGCACUAGCAAAAAUGAGAUCAGAGAUUGGCUUGGAAGCAUCUGAAGACAAAUGCCUGCAAACUGGAGUCUCAUACAGUAGUGCAGAGGCCAGGGAAUCUCAUUUUACUGUGGAUUAGCUCUUUAAAUCAAUUGCUUUUCUUUUUCUUUAUGAAGUGUUAGCUAUGUGUAUGUCAUUGUGCACGCAUUAGAAAAACCAGAAGAAAACUAAUGCACGUGAGGGCUCCCAAGAUGAUGGAAGGAGGCCAAAGGAACAGGAAUGAAGAAAAUAACAAAUCAAUUAUUAUUUCCAAGUAUUUGAACAUGCUCAAAGAUUAAUACUUUUACAGCAAGUUAGAGCAGCUGUAAUGGACAUUAUAGAACGGGCUGCACAACCAGUGAUCCAAGCAUGGAUUGCGAGGUGUUUAGCAACCCCCACUUCCAUGUUUGCAGUCCUAGGCAGGCAGCAAAAAGCAGAAAGUUUAUCACGCCCCUUGUAUGCCACAACCUAUGCAAGUCUAUUCUAUAGAGCAGGGAUGGCUUUCCAGAUGUUGUUGAAUUCCAGCUUCCAUCAUCCCUGACUAUUAGCCAUGCUGGCUGGAGCUAAUGGGAGUUGGAGUGCAAUCACUUUUAAUUAUUUAUAUAGUUAAAUACAAUAAUCAAGUACUAGGCUGUUAAAAAUACUAGUGCUUAACAGAAAGAUGUAGUUCAAUAAAACUGUAUACCGUUAUAAUUAAUAAUUACCCUCCUAUCCUAUACAAUCUACUGCUAGUAUGCCCUGCUAUCCUAUACAAUGGAAGAUGCACUCUUCCAUUGUCUCCUGAGACAGACGGGUGCCAAUCAUGGUAACUUUUCCUAUACAUAUUCCAAUAGUUAAAUAGCCUCACUCUGUCUAAUAGUAGGACCAAUGCUGCCAACAAAGUCCAGCCUUUAUUUGCUGAAAAUGAUCUAACUGGGAAUUAGCAUCCUCAAACAUUUUGCAAACCUGUAAUAAGGGAUUGGUCCCUACUGAAGACUGGAAAGCCAAACUCAAGCAAAGCUUGAAACACAGAGGAAGUGAGAAAGGAAGCUUGUGGGUAUUUGUUUCUUCUCCCUCUCCCUCCACCCCACUAAAGCCAAGAAAUAAAGAGAACUAGCUUUAGCCAGGUUGUGUUACUGAGGGCUCACCCAGACUUCUUUUCAUGCCACAUCUCUAAGCACAGGUCUGCGGAAAACCCUAAUUGCCGUUUGUUCCAUUUCAGUGUUAAGGAGCAGGUUUUCACAUGGGAAAUGCCAGGAAGGAGCUCUCAGACAUGGCACUUUAAAGUGCAGGUCUGUGCCUAGAAAGUGGGGCAAAAGGUACAUGUGGAUGAGCCCUGGAUCACCACACGCCCUACACACACACACACACACACACACACAGAGAGAGAGAGAGAGAGAGAGAGAGAGAGAGAGAGAGAUUAUAGUGCCUCUGAGGGUACAAAAAGUGCUUUCUCCUAAUCAGGGUGUUCACACCCCCUAUUCCUUGAGUCCUGAGGAGUCAAUUCAUAGUAACCAGCAAAGUUAAGAUGGUAAUUCCCUACCUCAGAUGCUUCAGAGAUUAUUGGAAUGGCAUCUUGUUCCUCAUGUUGCUGCUUGAGGCCAAUGAGCAAUAUAAAAGCCAGACAGGAUUUCUGUGAAACUUAACUGCAAAAUGUGGACUCUGUCCAAUCAGCAGACACACUGUCUUCUGCAGGAGUAGAUAACAGGAGUACUCACUCUUUUCUGCUGGGUCUUCCUUCCCCAAGAGCAGGUAAUAGGAGCAAUAUAAUCACAUGAAGAGCAGAAUAACUCACUGUCCACCAGCAGUAGAUGGGAAUGAUUCCUUACAUCCUGCUAGGGACUGACUGAUGCUUAACCAUGGCUGAUAAGUGCUCUUUUCAUGCCCGCAUAUGUGAUCACUGUACAUAGCAUGGCUGAUGGCCAGGGAGUGAACAUCACUGGGUCCCAUUGUACAUGCAUGCAUUGGAAAAUGUCUCCAAUUUAUGGGAUGUUCAUGCACUUGCUGAAAGUGCAUUUUCCUACUCUCUUCUUUGGGCGAGGAACUGCUUUCUUCCCAGGUGUGCAGCUUGAUGCUCACUGAAUAAGGGACCAGAAGUAGCAUUUCUGAACAUGAAUAGCCUGCAUUGUGGAGAAAACAGCUACACAUGCAACAUGGCUCUAAAUGUGUUCAUUUAGAAGCAUAUUCAGGAUUUAAGCCUGUGGAUUGAGUAGACCAAGACAUUUUGUCUGUACAGCAGCUGGCACAUUGGUGUGUUAAAUAAAUAUUAAGUAGUUAUAACUGUGUUCCCUUCAUCUGCUUGGAAUCCAGAAUAUUUCUUUUCUAUGGCUCUAGAACUGGGGGAGAUGUUGCUUUCUGCAUUCAUUUCACACAUGGAAGUUUUUUGUUCUCCAGCCUGAGCCUUGUUUUAAGCAGUUAAUCAUAAUCAUUUUUUCCUGUUUUGUUUGUUUAGCUACAGGAUGUUUAAGAUUCCUCUCUUCUUUUGCCCUUUCUGCAGCUGCUCUUAUUGUUUUGCCUGUGUCUCCGCUGUCUUGCGAUAGCUUUCUAGGCAUUUCACAACAGGAUGAAGAUCAACCCCCCCC